UACAGAGGGUGCAAGCGUUAAUCGGAAUUACUGGGCGUAAAGCGCGCGUAGGUGGAUGCUUAAGUCGGAUGUGAAAGCCCUGGGCUUAACCUGGGAACUGCAUUCGAUACUGAGUGUCUAGAGUAUGGUAGAGGGAAGUGGAAUUUCCGGUGUAGCGGUGAAAUGCGUAGAUAUCGGAAGGAACACCAGUGGCGAAGGCGGCUUCCUGGACUAAUACUGACACUGAGGCGCGAAAGCGUGGGGAGCAAACAGG
This 253-nucleotide ribosomal RNA is filed under the name uncultured bacterium. RNAcentral describes it as "partial 16S ribosomal RNA". It matches the Rfam family "Bacterial small subunit ribosomal RNA", at positions 524 to 776 of the family's 1533-position model. The record is from RNAcentral.